Molecule: ribosomal RNA, 828 nt
Filed under: Triticum aestivum (bread wheat)
Lineage: Eukaryota; Viridiplantae; Streptophyta; Magnoliopsida; Poales; Poaceae
Description: partial small subunit ribosomal RNA
Source: RNAcentral
AUGGCUCAAGCACAGGCGACACGAGGCUCAGGCGACCCCAUGAAGGCCCAGCAGGAGCAGCCGGAGCCCAUCCAGUACGGCCACGUCUUCGCCGUCACGGGCGACCUAGCCGUCCAGGCCAUCGCGCCGCGGGACGCGGAGGCCAUGCGCACCGCCGAGGAGAGCGUGCAGGGCGUGCAGGUCCCGCAGGCCAGCGGCGGCGGCUUCAGCGCGGCGGUGGCCAUGGAGACGGCCGCCACGUACAACCAGGCCGUCGGCGCCGUCCGCCCGGGCCAGGCCAGCGACGCGGCCACCAAGCAGGGCAUCACCGUCACCCAGACGGCCGUGCCCGGCGGCCGCAUCGUCACCGAGUUCGUGGCCGGCCAGGUGGUGGGGCAGUACUCCGUGGCCGACCAGGCGAUGAUGCAGCAGCAGCAGGUGGAGGAGGACACGAGCAAGGUGACGAUCGGCGAGGCCAUGGAGGCAGCGGCCCUGUCCGCGGGCGAUCGGCCCCUCGAGGAGGCCGACGCGGCGGCCAUCCGCGCCGCGGAGACCCAGGCGCAGGGAGCGGACGAGGUCAUGCCCGGCGGCCUCGCCGACCAGGCGUGGGCCGCCGCAAGCGCCAACGCCUGGGCGGAGCGCGACGAGGACAAGAUCACGGUCAGCGAUGUCCUCUCGGACGCGACGACGAAGCUGGCGGAUGACAAGCCGGCGGAGAGGGAGGACGCGGCAAGAGUGGUGCAGGCGGAGACGUACAGCGACGCCGGGGCGCGCACCAAGGCCGGCGGGGUGGGCGCCGCGAUCACCACGGCGGCGAGGCUUAACCAGGAGGACGACGACGACGCUUGA